UGAGUAACGCGUGGGAAUCUACCCAUCUCUACGGAACAACUCCGGGAAACUGGAGCUAAUACCGUAUACGUCCUUCGGGAGAAAGAUUUAUCGGAGAUGGAUGAGCCCGCGUUGGAUUAGCUAGUUGGUGGGGUAAUGGCCUACCAAGGCGACGAUCCAUAGCUGGUCUGAGAGGAUGAUCAGCCACAUUGGGACUGAGACACGGCCCAAACUCCUACGGGAGGCAGCAGUGGGGAAUAUUGGACAAUGGGCGAAAGCCUGAUCCAGCCAUGCCGCGUGAGUGAUGAAGGCCCUAGGGUUGUAAAGCUCUUUCAACGGUGAAGAUAAUGACGGUAACCGUAGAAGAAGCCCCGGCUAACUUCGUGCCAGCAGCCGCGGUAAUACGAAGGGGGCUAGCGUUGUUCGGAAUUACUGGGCGUAAAGCGCACGUAGGCGGAUAUUUAAGUCAGGGGUGAAAUCCCGGGGCUCAACCCCGGAACUGCCUUUGAUACUGGGUAUCUCGAGUCCGAGAGAGGUGAGUGGAAUUCCGAGUGUAGAGGUGAAAUUCGUAGAUAUUCGGAGGAACACCAGUGGCGAA
Molecule: ribosomal RNA, 577 nt
Filed under: Mesorhizobium sp. CR-16-Caldas da Rainha
Lineage: Bacteria; Pseudomonadati; Pseudomonadota; Alphaproteobacteria; Hyphomicrobiales; Phyllobacteriaceae
Also listed under: 7 other names
Description: bacterial SSU rRNA
Rfam family: Bacterial small subunit ribosomal RNA
Source: RNAcentral